GGAACAUCCUGAAUGCUAAGAAAAUCUGGCUUUCUGUGGCUGUCCUUUGUUGGUUUCUAUGUACUAGCUUGAAAGGCUGUUAUUGAGGUUUGCGGUGUACAUAAUUAAGAUUUGGGAUGAGAAAAAAAAAGGAAAAGGUUUAAAAUUUAAUGUGAAGAAGUUGCAAGUAUUCUGGACCUCAUGCAGAAAAUCAAGGAGUAGAAAGAGAGGAAGAAGGGAG
This 220-nucleotide unclassified non-coding RNA is filed under the name Hevea brasiliensis (rubber tree). Lineage: Eukaryota; Viridiplantae; Streptophyta; Magnoliopsida; Malpighiales; Euphorbiaceae. The record is from RNAcentral.